Molecule: long non-coding RNA, 304 nt
Filed under: Populus trichocarpa (black cottonwood)
Lineage: Eukaryota; Viridiplantae; Streptophyta; Magnoliopsida; Malpighiales; Salicaceae
Description: long non-coding RNA (PTRI_LNC002238)
Source: RNAcentral
CGGCUUCACCGACUGAUGUGGCGUUGAUGUGGCAGCAAUGGGCUUACAUGGUUGGUGACGUGGCAGGGGUUGAUUAAUUUGCCUUGAAAGCCUGCAAUGAAUUCCAUGUUGCUGUUACUUGCGGUCGUACUCAUACAGCUCUAUUGUGCAAGGAUGCGACCUGAUCAGCUGCUGGUUGCCAUUGGCUGUUGGGAAAGUGAACUGUGUUUGUGGCGGCUGGGAUGGGUCUAGUGCGGUAGCUGAUCUAGCUGAGGAGAAUAAUUAUUCUGUUGCUGGAGGCGUGAAAGAAUUGGCUUUUUAGGAC